RNAcentral lists this ribosomal RNA (660 nucleotides) under uncultured archaeon. Its description in RNAcentral is "bacterial SSU rRNA". It matches the Rfam family "Archaeal small subunit ribosomal RNA", at positions 82 to 725 of the family's 1478-position model. The record is from RNAcentral.
CACACACCUUAAUAACACGUGGCUAACCUGCCCUUGGGACAAGAAUACCCCCGGGAAACUGGGGCUAAUUCUCGAUAGGUGAAGAACUCUGGAAUGAGUCUUCGCUUAAAAGAGGCUGGGGUUAUGCUCUCCAGUUUCGCCCAAGGAUGGGGCCGCGACCGAUCAGGUUGUUGGUGAGGUAAUGGCUCACCAAGCCUUUUACCGGUGCGGGCCGUGGGAGCGGGAGCCCGGAGAUGGGCACUGAGACAAGGGCCCAGGCCCUACGGGGCGCAGCAGUCGCGAAAACUUUGCAAUAAGCGAAAGCUUGACAGGGCUAUCCCGAGUGCCAUCCGCUGAGGAAGGCUUUUACCCAGUCUAGAACGCUGGGGGAAUAAGGAGAGGGCAAGUCUGGUGUCAGCCGCCGCGGUAAUACCAGCUCUCCGAGUGGUGUGGAUGUUUAUUGGGCCUAAAGCAUCCGUAGCUGGCUAGGUUAGUCCCCUGUUAAAUCCACCGAAUUAAUCGUUGGAUUGCGGGGGAUACUGCUUGGCUAGGGGACGAGAGAGGCAGACGGUAUUUUCGGGGUAGGGGUGAAAUCCUAUAAUCCCGGGAAGACCACCAGUGGCGAAGGCUGUCUGCUAGAACGCGCCCGACGGUGAGGGAUGAAAGCUGGGGGAGCGAACC